AGCUAUGUCGUGCCGCCCCCCAAAGGCGAUCCGAACCGCGAAGAAUCGCUCAAAUCGUGGCCCUGUCCUGAAUGCCAAUAUAAAUCGCAAAUGUCGGAGGAUCCUGAAUCUGAACUCAUCGCUGAGCCCGAAGAGUUGCACGCACCACCUGAGAGACAUUUGUAGAUAGUUGAGAUGUUGUGUUUGAGAAAAUAGAGUUUCCAGUGUGUGGCCAAAGUAGAAAGCAAACACUUUGUAAAAAUAAAGAUAAACUCGCGCGAAUCGUGUGGAUCGACGUGGAUACAUCACACGAUCACGACGCGCUUUUGUCCGCAUAAAAAAAGCUAACGAGCCAAAGGCGCGCGCCGCGUCCAGCCUCUCCGGAAUUAGACUGAAAAAAGUUGACGAAAAAAACUCCAUGGUCGCCGUGUUCAGGAGCAUGGCGAGGGGGCUCACCAUUUCGGUAUCCCAGGACAAAAUAGGUAAACCUACGUCUCCACCCGAGGACAUCACGUCCACGUGCUCAAAUAAUUUUCGUUUGAAGGUCUCGGGGUCCAUGGCGCGCGAAUGUCCGGAUCUUGCUGAUCCGGACAAAUGCGCUCAUGAGCGCCCGAGACCUUGAAACGAAAAUUAUUUCAGGACGUGGACGUGUUGUCCACGGGUGGAGACGUAGGUUUACCGGGUCAUUUCACUUCUCAGCAUUUCGAAGGUGCCGCGACCUUGUGUGCGGAACCGCGACCCAUGGCUAAAACUUUUUCGCAAGAGGAGCAUAACGUCACCUUUUUCCCCAUUAAAUUACAUACGAGGCACCGCGACGGGCUGAAAAAUCGUCGAAAAGUGACGAAAAAAAAUCAAUUAGGGUAGGGAUGACCAUAAGUGUUAUGUACGUACGUAUGUGAUUAUUACCUUAUUUUAUUACUUCAUUCGUUCGAAUAAUGAAGGUAUGGAUAGUCUACCUUCAUUAUUCGUUCGAAGGUACAUAUACCUUCGAAUGAAGCAAGGUAAUAAUAACAUUUAGAUGAUAAAUUAUAUAUAUUAGAAUACAUCAAUCUAUUUAUUAUUACCUCAUCAUUCUAUAACUUAUUAUAUAUAUACCAAUAAAUAAAGAAAGAUACGAAGAUAAUAAUAUG
Molecule: long non-coding RNA, 1109 nt
Filed under: Micromonas commoda
Lineage: Eukaryota; Viridiplantae; Chlorophyta; Mamiellophyceae; Mamiellales; Mamiellaceae
Description: long non-coding RNA (MCOM_LNC000079)
Source: RNAcentral